CCUAGACCCUGUCUCACCCUCCCACUUCUCUGCUUGUCCUUUUCCUGCAGCACUUACCUUCUGACACAGUCUCCCUUAUUGAGUUCUCACGUUCGUUGCUUCUUGCCAGAUUCACUUCCCUAGAACCUUCUGCUCCUGCGGGUUGGGGUCUCUGUCUGUUCUCUGCUGCGUCCUCAGUGCCCACAGCAGCACCUGGCUGAGACAGGUGCUCAGUGAGUGUGUGCAGAGCGGCAGGGGAGCCUGUGCAGCUCACCAUCCUGAGAGCGCAGCCUCCGGGGACUGGCUCCCGGCUUUGAAUCCUGGCACCUCGACUGUGAGAACUACACAGUUGUACGUUCUAGUUCUUCCACGUGGGGCGUGGCCUCAGCAGAGCUUGACGAGCAGUGCUGGGUCCAUGCUUGGGAUCUGAACUGGCGAACCCCAGGCCGCCGAAGUGGAAUGCGUGAACUUAACCACUAUGCAACCAGGAUUAAAAUGCCCUCCAUAUGGAUAUGGGACCGCUGCACUUUC
RNAcentral lists this long non-coding RNA (510 nucleotides) under Equus caballus (horse). Its description in RNAcentral is "lncRNA (ENSECAG00000045006.1)". Lineage: Eukaryota; Metazoa; Chordata; Mammalia; Perissodactyla; Equidae. The record is from RNAcentral.